RNAcentral lists this ribosomal RNA (440 nucleotides) under uncultured bacterium. RNAcentral describes it as "partial 16S ribosomal RNA". It matches the Rfam family "Bacterial small subunit ribosomal RNA", at positions 338 to 795 of the family's 1533-position model. The record is from RNAcentral.
CCUACGGGGGGCAGCAGUGGGGGAUAUUGCACAAUGGGGGGAACCCUGAUGCAGCGACGCCGCGUGGGUGAAGAAGCGCCUCGGCGCGUAAAGCCCUGUCAGCAGGGAAGAAAAUGACGGUACCUGAAGAAGAAGCCCCGGCUAACUACGUGCCAGCAGCCGCGGUAAUACGUAGGGGGCAAGCGUUAUCCGGAUUUACUGGGUGGAAAGGGGGCGCAGACGGCGGUGCAAGCCAGGAGUGAAAGCCCGGGGCCCAACCCCGGGACUGCUCUUGGAACUGCGUGGCUGGAGUGCAGGAGGGGCAGGCGGAAUUCCUGGUGUAGCGGUGAAAUGCGUAGAUAUCAGGAGGAACACCGGUGGCGAAGGCGGCCUGCUGGACUGCAACUGACGUUGAGGCCCGAAAGCGUGGGGAGCAAACAGGAUUAGAUACCCCAGUAGUC